AAUAGAUACCCCGGUAGUCCUAGCCGUAAACGAUACUCGCUAGGUGUCGGCCACGGCGCGACCGUUGUCGGUACCGUAGGGAAGCCGUGAAGCGAGCCACCUGGGAAGUACGGCCGCAAGGCUGAAACUUAAAGGAAUUGGCGGGGGAGCACCACAACGGGUGGAGCUUGCGGUUUAAUUGGAUUCAACGCCGGAAAUCUUACCGGGACCGACAGCAAUAUGAAGGCCAGGCUGAAGACUUUGCCGGAUUAGCUGAGAGGUGGUGCAUGGCCGUCGUCAGUUCGUACUGUGAAGCAUCCUGUUAAGUCAGGCAACGAGCGAGACCCACGCCCACAGUUGCCAGCGUACUCUCUGGAGUGACGGGUACACUGUGGGGACCGCCGCUGCUAAAGCGGAGGAAGGAAUGGGCAACGGUAGGUCAGUAUGCCCCGAAUAUCCCGGGCUACACGCGAGCUACAAUGGUUGGUACAAUGGGUAUCUACCCCGAAAGGGGACGGAAUCUCCUAAAACCAUCUUAGUUCGGAUUGAGGGCUGCAACUCGCCCUCA
RNAcentral lists this ribosomal RNA (547 nucleotides) under uncultured bacterium. RNAcentral's name for it is "bacterial SSU rRNA". It matches the Rfam family "Archaeal small subunit ribosomal RNA", at positions 728 to 1276 of the family's 1478-position model. The record is from RNAcentral.